AGAGUUUGAUCCUGGCUCAGAACGAACGCUGGCGGCGUGGAUAAGACAUGCAAGUCGAACGCUGGCAUUCAGGUAGCAAUAUUUGGAUGUCGGAGUGGCGCAAGGGUGCGUAACACGUGGGUAAUUUGCCGUAAAGUCUGGGAUAACUUGCUGAAAGGCGAGCUAAUACCGGAUGUGAAUUCUUGGAGGCAUCUUCGGGAAUUCAAAGUUGGGGACCGCAAGGCCUGACGCUUUACGAUAAGCCCGCGGCCUAUCAGCUAGUUGGUGAGGUAACGGCUCACCAAGGCUAAGACGGGUAGCUGGUCUGAGAGGACGACCAGCCUCACUGGAACUGAGACACGGUCCAGACACCUACGGGUGGCAGCAGUCGAGAAUUUUUCUCAAUGGGCGAAAGCCUGAAGGAGCGACGCCGCGUGGGGGAUGAAUGGCUUCGGCCCGUAAACCCCUGUCAUUUGUGAACAAAUUGCUUCACCUAACACGUGAAGCAUUGAUUGUAACGGAAGAGGAAGGGACGGCUAACUCUGUGCCAGCAGCCGCGGUAAUACAGAGGUCCCAAGCGUUGUUCGGAUUCACUGGGCGUAAAGGGUGCGUAGGCGGUUUGAUAAGUCUGAUGUGAAAUCCCGCAGCUUAACUGCGGAACUGCAUUGGAAACUAUUUGACUAGAGGAAUGGAGGGGAGACUGGAAUACUUGGUGUAGCAGUGAAAUGCGUAGAUAUCAAGUGGAACACCAGUGGCGAAGGCGAGUCUCUGGACAUUUCCUGACGCUGAGGCACGAAAGCCAGGGGAGCAAACGGGAUUAGAUACCCUAGUAGUCC
RNAcentral lists this ribosomal RNA (815 nucleotides) under uncultured bacterium. RNAcentral's name for it is "bacterial SSU rRNA". It matches the Rfam family "Bacterial small subunit ribosomal RNA", at positions 8 to 796 of the family's 1533-position model. The record is from RNAcentral.